AGCGGAGGAAAAGAAACCAACAGGGAUUGCCUCAGUAGCGGCGAGUGAAGCGGCAAGAGCUCAGAUUUGAAAUCGUGUUUCGGCACGAGUUGUAAAUUGCAGGUUGGAGCCUUUGUGGAGGCGCGUGUCUAAGUCCCUUGGAACAGGGCGCCAUUGAGGGUGAGAGCCCCGUGCGACGCGUGCUGAAGCUGUAAGGCCCUUCUGACGAGUCGAGUUGUUUGGGAAUGCAGCUCUAAGUGGGUGGUAAAUUCCAUCUAAGGCUAAAUACUGGCGAGAGACCGAUAGCGAACAAGUACUGUGAAGGAAAGAUGAAAAGCACUUUGAAAAGAGAGUGAAACAGCACGUGAAAUUGUUGAAAGGGAAGGGUAUUGGGCUCGACAUGGGAUUUGCGCACCGCUGCUCCUUGUGGGCGGCGCUCUGGGCUUUUCCUGGGCCAGCAUCGGUUUCCGCUGCAGGAGAAGGGGCUCUGGAAUGUGGCUCUUCGGAGUGUUAUAGCCAGGGCCAGAUGCUGCGUGCGGGGACCGAGGACUGCGACAUCUGUCACGGAUGCUGGCACAACGGCGCAAUACCGCCCGU
This 576-nucleotide ribosomal RNA is filed under the name Pichia sp. UFMG-IA11.1. Its description in RNAcentral is "eukaryotic LSU rRNA". It matches the Rfam family "Eukaryotic large subunit ribosomal RNA", at positions 49 to 652 of the family's 3401-position model. Lineage: Eukaryota; Fungi; Ascomycota; Pichiomycetes; Pichiales; Pichiaceae. The record is from RNAcentral.